CCAGACUCCUACGGGAGGCAGCAGUGGGGAAUAUUGGGCAAUGGAGGCAACUCUUACCCAGCAAUGCCGCGUGAAUGAAGAAGGUCUUCGGAUUGUAAAGUUCUUUAAUUGGGGACGAAAAAAAUGACGGUACCCAACGAAUAAGCACCGGCUAACUCCGUGCCAGCAGCCGCGGUAAUACGGAGGGUGCAAGCGUUACUCGGAAUCACUGGGCGUAAAGAGUGCGUAGGCGGGGUAAUAAGUCAGAUGUGAAAUCCUGUAGCUUAACUACAGAACUGCAUUUGAAACUGUUACUCUGGAGUGUGGGAGAGGUAGGUGGAAUUCUUGGUGUAGGGGUAAAAUCCGUAGAGAUCAAGAGGAAUACUCAUUGCGAAGGCGACCUGCUAGAACAUAACUGACGCUGAUGCGCGAAAGCGUGGGGAGCAAACAGGAUUAGAUACCCCUGUAC
RNAcentral lists this ribosomal RNA (448 nucleotides) under uncultured bacterium. RNAcentral's name for it is "bacterial SSU rRNA". It matches the Rfam family "Bacterial small subunit ribosomal RNA", at positions 331 to 793 of the family's 1533-position model. The record is from RNAcentral.